Molecule: transfer RNA, 66 nt
Filed under: Lygus hesperus (lygus bug)
Lineage: Eukaryota; Metazoa; Arthropoda; Insecta; Hemiptera; Miridae
Also listed under: 1 other name
Description: tRNA-Leu
Source: RNAcentral
UCUAAUGUGGCAGAAUAAAUGCCAUGAACUUAAGAUUCAUAUAUAAAGAUAUAUCUUUCAUUAGAA